CAGCACAAGUGGUCUAGUGGUAGAAUAGUACCCUGCCACGGUACAGACCCGGGUUCGAUUCCCGGCUGGUGCAUACAUGAGUUGUGAUGAUAAGCCUUACUGGUGGUUGGGUCCAUCAGAUGUGUCUGACUUCUAGUUGAAGACACUAAGGCCUCUCUGAGCUC
RNAcentral lists this small RNA (164 nucleotides) under Helianthus annuus (common sunflower). RNAcentral describes it as "hypothetical non coding rna". The stretch from base 3 to 73 matches the Rfam family "tRNA". Lineage: Eukaryota; Viridiplantae; Streptophyta; Magnoliopsida; Asterales; Asteraceae. The record is from RNAcentral.